This is a non-coding RNA of Xyrichtys novacula (pearly razorfish), 3082 nucleotides long. NCBI's taxonomy places the organism in Eukaryota, Metazoa, Chordata, Actinopteri, Labriformes, Labridae. The record is from the annotation of a GenBank genome assembly.
GUCCGGUUGUCCCUGUAUUGCGUGAUUGACAGGUGUCACGAGCGUAUCGCCAAUCAUUGUCAAGUUUGGGUGAGGAGUGGGACCUGUCAGUUUUUGGGAAGACGGGGUUUUCAUCUCAGUGAGAGAGAAGCGGUGAUUGACAGAGCGGAAAAAUGCUGACAAGCGAUGCCGAGAGAAGGCGAAAUAAUAGUGUGAAAGUUUGUUCUUUCGUUGUUAAGUGUUAAAUGAAGACCCAACAGGAUUGAGGCUCGGUGUAUUGGAUCGGGGCGGGGGUGUGUGGUUGUUUCGAGACGUGCGGGUGAGUGUUGUUGGUAAAUUCAGUGAGGUUCGUAAAUGUGCUAUAUGCUAAAUUGUUAGCUGACUAGCAUCGACUGUGCAGGAGCAGAGGAAGACUGGAGUCAGGAUGCAUGUGCGAGGUCGGAGUUCCUGAGUGAGUAUCAGACUGCUUAUUGUCAUCUCAGGCACUUUGUGAGUGAGUACGUGUAUGUGAAGUUUUUUUUUUUUUGUGCUGUCAGUGUGCUUCGGAUUCUGGCCACUCGUGCUGCGACAGUAGAGGUGCUCCGGACUUGCCGCGCCCAGGGACUUCGGCAUGCGGACCGACUUUCUCCUUCUUCCAUUCUGUGCUUCCAUGAUGGUUAUAACAACACACUAAAUUUGUAAGGGACCGUGAGUACAAACGACUUGGAAAUCACACCCACACAAGAGCUCCAACAGCGCGCCAACGUACGUGGUACCACAGACUGAUUUAUAAAAUCCCGCGUAUUAAGAACUAUUUUUUUUCCUCUCUUUUUAUUUCUUCAUCCUGUGAAUAAAUGUGAACAUUUGUGAAUUUAAACGUAUAGUUGCUGUUGAUUGACAUAGACAAAGUGGCAUCAGUCAGGCAGAAUAUCAGUUAUAUGUUAACGUCCCCCAAUGAUGUGUGUGCUCCUCCUGCACUAUCUGCUGUUUUUGAGAACUUCGAAACAAUUUCUCUGUCGUCUCUCACUAAGGUGGUUAGUGGCUUAAAACCCACUAACUGUCCCUUAGACAUUAUUCCAGCCAAGUUUCUAAAGGAGGUAUUUAGUUCUGUUGGAUCAAGCUUGCUGUUUUUUAUCAACACCUGUCUUAGCUCAGGGUCUGUCCCAGCUGCUUUCAAACAUGCUGUGGUUAGGCCCCUCCUCAAAAAAACGCAUCUUGACCCCACUGUGCUGUCCAAUUUUGGGCCUGUCUCCCACCUGCCAUUUCUUUCUAAGGUUUUGGAAAAAGUUGUCUCCUUUCAAUUGCAUGCAUUUUUAGAGGUAAAUUCUGUUCUUGAUAAAUUUCCGUCUGGUUUCAGGUCUCGACAUAGCACUGAGUCAGCACUGUUAAAGGUACAUAAUGAUAUUGCCCUGUCCGUGGAUGCUGGAAACCCCGCUGUGCUGGUCCUGCUGGACCUCACAGCGGCUUUUGAUACAGUCGAUCAUGCAAUCCUUGUAUCUCGCCUUGAGCAGUAUGUAGGCAUCCGUGGCACCGCUCUCAAAUGGUUUAAGUCGUACCUGGCAGAUAGGAGUUUUUCCGUGAUGAUUGGUGACCUCUGCUCCUCACAGGCGCCUCUCUCUUGUGGGGUGCCACAGGGCUCUAUUCUUGGCCCUAUUCUGUUCUCUUUGUAUUUACUACCCCUGGGAUCAAUUAUAAGAAAAUACAAUCUGUCUUUUCAUUCGUAUGCUGAUGACUUACAGUUAUAUUUGCCCAUGCGACCCAACGAGAACAGUGCACUUUCUCACUUACUGGACUAUAUUACUGAAGUAAAACAGUGGUUGGCUCUGAACUUUUUGCACCUAAAUGACAGCAAAACUGAGUGUAUUUUAUUUGGCACGCCAUCGAUAUCAAACGUUUCGAUUACAGACUCUGGAAAUCUGGCGCCUUUUUUCAAGCCGCAUGUAAAGAAUCUUGGGGUAACAUUUGACAGUGGACUUAAGUUCGAUAAACAGAUUAGAUCUGUCGUCAGUACCAGCUUUUUUCAACUGCGUCUCCUGGCCAAAGUGAAGUCCUUUUUAAGUCGGCAGGACCUCGAGAAGGCAAUCCAUGCCUUCAUCAGUUCCAGACUGGACUAUUGUAAUGCCCUUUAUGUUGGCCUCAGCCAGUCUUUAAUCUCCCGUCUCCAGCUUGUACAGAACGCUGCUGCACGAUUUUUAACGGGCACGUCUAGGCGUGAACACAUCACCCCUGUGCUGUCUUCGCUACACUGGCUUCCAGUUUGUUUUAGAAUUGACUUUAAACUUUAAUUAUUUACUUUUUUGCCAUAAAUGGCCUGGCCCCCUCCUACCUGUCAGAGAUUUUAACUGUUCGCGAUCAUGGCAGGGCCCUCCGUUCCUCCGGUCAGCGCCUGUUGGAGGUCCCGAGGUCAAAACUCAAACAGUGGGGUGAUCGUUCUUUUGCUGUUGCAGCUCCUAGGCUGUGGAACAGACUGCCGCUAGAUGUACGCACCACCACUGACCUCAGUUUAUUUAAAUCAAAGUUAAAGACGCACCUUUUUAGACUUGCUUUUAACUCUGACUAGGUAGUCCUGUACUUAUAGGUUUUUAGCACUUCUACAUACUAUUUUAUUGUAUUAUUUUAUUUUCAUAUUCAUUUUUAUUAUUUCAUCGUUCUUGUAUUAUUGUAUUCUAUUGUAUUAUUUUAUAAUGGUAUUUUUUCUUGUGUUAUUUUAUUGCUUUUAUGUAAAGCACUUUGGGUACCAUUUGGGAUAUUGUAAAGUGCUAUAUAAAAAAAAUUUGAUUGAUUGAUUGAUUGAUUGAUUGAUGUUGUGCACAUUUGGGGGGCUAUCUUAAGACAUGCAUGGGAGUUAACACUCACACAGACACGUCACACAAUUCCCUGGUUUAUAUUUUGUAGCAUCACCACUUCCUCUCCUAUGCAAAAUACUGUGUGUAUGAUCCGGUAGGUAAUAGUAUUUUUAAAAAAUAGGAAUUGAGUGAGGGGGCUACAUAUAUUUAAAUUAACUUGUUUUUGUUCAUUAUUAAUUAUCUCAGAGUCACUCAGACAAAUUUGUCAAAGCUCUGCUGCUUCUUUGAAAUCUUACCCUACCUGCUGAAACCUGACACCAUAGUCUGGACGCUUCCUG